UACGUAGGGUGCGAGCGUUAAUCGGAAUUACUGGGCGUAAAGCGUGCGCAGGCGGCUUUGCAAGACAGAUGUGAAAUCCCCGGGCUCAACCUGGGAACUGCAUUUGUGACUGCAAGGCUAGAGUACGGCAGAGGGGGAUGGAAUUCCGCGUGUAGCAGUGAAAUGCGUAGAUAUGCGGAGGAACACCAAUGGCGAAGGCAAUCCACUGGGCCUGUACUGACGCUCAUGCACGAAAGCGUGGGGAGCAAACAGG
RNAcentral lists this ribosomal RNA (253 nucleotides) under uncultured bacterium. Its description in RNAcentral is "partial 16S ribosomal RNA". It matches the Rfam family "Bacterial small subunit ribosomal RNA", at positions 524 to 776 of the family's 1533-position model. The record is from RNAcentral.